This 443-nucleotide ribosomal RNA is filed under the name uncultured bacterium. RNAcentral describes it as "partial 16S ribosomal RNA". It matches the Rfam family "Bacterial small subunit ribosomal RNA", at positions 338 to 795 of the family's 1533-position model. The record is from RNAcentral.
CCUACGGGUGGCAGCAGUGGGGAAUAUUGGGCAAUGGGCGCAAGCCUGACCCAGCAACGCCGCGUGAAGGAAGAAUGCUCUCGGGUUGUAAACUUCUUUUCUCAGGGACGAAGAAAGUGCCGGUACCUGAGGAAUAAGCCACGGCUAUCUCCGGGCCAGCAGCCGCGGUAAUACGGAGGGUGCGAGCGUUAAUCGGAAUUACUGGGCGUAAGGCGCUCGUAGGCGGUAUGUCAAGUUAAGGGUGAAAUCCCCGCGCUCAACGUGGGAACUGCCUUUGAAACUGGCAAACUGGAGUGUGUGGAAGGAUAGUGGAAUUCCAGGUGUAGGAGUGAAAUCCGUAGAUAUCUGGAGGAACAUCAGUGGCGAAGGCGACUAUCUGGCACAUAACUGACGCUGAGGAGCGAAAGCGUGGGUAGCAAACAGGAUUAGAUACCCCGGUAGUC